Molecule: ribozyme, 80 nt
Filed under: Crocodylus porosus (Australian saltwater crocodile)
Lineage: Eukaryota; Metazoa; Chordata; Crocodylia; Crocodylidae
Description: Mammalian CPEB3 ribozyme (ENSCPRG00005009231.1)
Rfam family: Mammalian CPEB3 ribozyme
About the family: The mammalian CPEB3 ribozyme is a self cleaving RNA located in the second intron of the CPEB3 gene which belongs to a family of genes regulating messenger RNA polyadenylation. This ribozyme is highly conserved and found only in mammals.
Source: RNAcentral
AAAGGUCACAAGUUUGAGGCCAUAGCAGAAGUGCUCACAGCACUGCCCUGUCAGAUUCCAACAAAUCUGUGAAUUCUGCU